UGUUGCUUAGAAGUUGAUUAUAUUUGUUUUUAGGUUUAUAUGCCUUUUGCAUCAUGCUUAAUGGAUUUUUUUAAAUUAUAUUUUACAUCGAAUAGCUUAGAUCUCAGAAUAUGGUUGUUUAGAACUUAUUUUUACUAGGUAAGUAUAUAUAAACUUAUUUUGUGGUGUGAAAUGUUAGUCGUUAAGUUGUAUAACUAUUUUAUCACUUGUUUUUUCUUAUAACGUAUUAGGUUUAAGAUCUAGUACGCGAUGUUAUACUUUUUUUAGUUGUAUGUUAUAAUUGGACUAGAAGUAUUCAUUUAUUGUAAAAUUGUUAAAAAUUUUGUUUAUUUUGAGGCUAAGUUGACUUAAAUAGGUGAUAUCAUGUUAAUUAUUGGAUUGAAAAAUCAUUAAAUAAGUAAUUAUAAUAUGGUGAUUAUUUCUCGAGGUUUAUACGUCUGUUUAUUAAAAACAUUUCCAAUUGUAAUAAUAAUUGGUAGUACCUGCCCAAUGUGUUUAUGAAUGGCCGCAGUAAUUUGACUGUGCAAAGGUAGCAUAAUUAAUUGUCCUAUAAUUGAGGACUUGUUUGAAUGGUUUGACGAGAUAAUUUUCUUAUAUUCGCUAUAUUGUUGAAAUUAUGUUGUGAGUGCAGAAUCUCCGAAUUUUUAAUAAGACGGAAAGACCCCGGGAGCUUUAGUGUUUGCUUGGGGCAAGAUUUUAUAUUUUAUAAAUGUUUAGACCCUAUAAAUUUGGGUUAGCGGGUUAAGUUGCCCCGGGGAUAACAGGGUAAUAAUUAAUAAGAGAUCGUAUCGAAUUAAUUGUUUGCCACCUCGAUGUUGACUUGGGUUAAUAUUAUGGCGCAGUAGUUUAUAUAUUAGGUCUGUUCGACCGUAGUAACCUUCAUGAGUUGAGUUUAGACCGGUGUAAGCCAGGUCGGAUCUUAUCUAUUGUUUGGGCUUAUUAGUACGAAAGGACCGUAGGCUCUUUUUUUU
Molecule: ribosomal RNA, 971 nt
Filed under: Raillietina tetragona
Lineage: Eukaryota; Metazoa; Platyhelminthes; Cestoda; Cyclophyllidea; Davaineidae
Description: large subunit ribosomal RNA
Rfam family: Bacterial large subunit ribosomal RNA (bases 647-928)
Source: RNAcentral